Molecule: small nuclear RNA, 107 nt
Organism: Pongo abelii (Sumatran orangutan)
Lineage: Eukaryota; Metazoa; Chordata; Mammalia; Primates; Hominidae
Source: Ensembl
GUGCUCGCUUCGACAGCAUAUGCAUUAACAUUGGAAGGAUACACAAAAGAUUAGCAUGGGCCCCGCGCAAAGACGACAGGCAAAUUUGUGACAUGUUUCAUAUAUUU